RNAcentral lists this ribosomal RNA (285 nucleotides) under Ramalina complanata. RNAcentral's name for it is "partial 18S ribosomal RNA". The record is from RNAcentral. Lineage: Eukaryota; Fungi; Ascomycota; Lecanoromycetes; Lecanorales; Ramalinaceae.
GGUCAUUUAGAGGAAGUAAAAGUCGUAACAAGGUUUCCGUAGGUGUCGUUCCUCGCGAGGUUCGCCUACGGAAGCCCCGAGCAGCGACUCGAAAGAAUUGCUCCCGAGUCUGCCCACGGGCGGGCGACGCCUUCAUUCUGCCCUGGGAGUGCCCGCUCAUCGGGCCCACCAGCAGCUUGUGCAAGCUCACAGAUCAGACGAACGCGGCCACUGCGGUGGUUUUGAUAUGACCGGCCGGGGCUGUCACCAGCCCACGACGUUUGCGGAACCUGCGGAAGGAUCAUU